AACGCGUAUAGAAUCUACCUUAUACUGGGGGAUAGCCUUUGGAAACGAAGAUUAAUACCCCAUAGUAUUAUUUUUUGGCAUCAUUAAAUAAUUAAAGUUUCGGCGGUAUAAGAUGACUAUGCGUUCUAUUAGUUAGUUGGUAAGGUAACGGCUUACCAAGACUUCGAUAGAUAGGGGUCCUGAGAGGGAGAUCCCCCACACUGGUACUGAGACACGGACCAGACUCCUACGGGAGGCAGCAGUGAGGAAUAUUGGACAAUGGAGGCAACUCUGAUCCAGCCAUGCCGCGUGUAGGAAGACUGCCCUAUGGGUUGUAAACUACUUUUAUAUGGGAAGAAUAAGGUCUACGUGUAGAUCGAUGACGGUACCAUAAGAAUAAGCACCGGCUAACUCCGUGCCAGCAGCCGCGGUAAUACGGAGGGUGCAAGCGUUAUCCGGAAUCAUUGGGUUUAAAGGGUCCGUAGGCGGGCAUAUAAGUCAGUGGUGAAAGUCUGUGGCUCAACCAUAGAAUUGCCAUUGAUACUGUAUGUCUUGAAUUAUUGUGAAGUGGUUAGAAUAUGUAGUGUAGCGGUGAAAUGCUUAGAGAUUACAUAGAAUACCGAUUGCGAAGGCAGAUCACUAACAAUAUAUUGACGCUGAUGGACGAAAGCGUAGUAGCGAACAGGAUUAGAUACCCUGGUAGUCUACGCCGUAAACGAUGGAUACUAGUUGUUUGGCCUUCGGGCUGAGUGACUAAGCGAAAGUGAUAAGUAUCCCACCUGGGAGUACGUUCGCAAGAAUGAACUCAAAGGAAUUGACGGGGGCCCGCACAAGCGG
This 816-nucleotide ribosomal RNA is filed under the name Dokdonia sp. RNAcentral's name for it is "bacterial SSU rRNA". It matches the Rfam family "Bacterial small subunit ribosomal RNA", at positions 112 to 932 of the family's 1533-position model. The record is from RNAcentral. Lineage: Bacteria; Pseudomonadati; Bacteroidota; Flavobacteriia; Flavobacteriales; Flavobacteriaceae.